GUGGGGAAUCUUAGACAAUGGGCGCAAGCCUGAUCUAGCCAUGCCGCGUGAGCGAUGAAGGCCUUAGGGUUGUAAAGCUCUUUCGUGGGGGAAGAUAAUGACUGUACCCCAAGAAGAAGCCCCGGCUAACUCCGUGCCAGCAGCCGCGGUAAUACGGAGGGGGCUAGCGUUGUUCGGAAUUACUGGGCGUAAAGCGCACGUAGGCGGACUGGAAAGUCAGGGGUGAAAUCCCCGGUCUCAACCCCGGAACUGCCUUUGAAACUCCCAGGCUUGAGUUCGAGAGAGGUGAGUGGAAUUCCGAGUGUAGAGGUGAAAUUCGUUGAUAUUCGGAGGAAAACCAGUGGCGAAGGCGGCUCACUGGCUCGAUACUGACGCUGAGGUGCGAAAGCGUGGGGAGCAAACAGGAUUAGAAACCCUUGUAGUCC
This 425-nucleotide ribosomal RNA is filed under the name uncultured bacterium. Its description in RNAcentral is "partial 16S ribosomal RNA". It matches the Rfam family "Bacterial small subunit ribosomal RNA", at positions 354 to 796 of the family's 1533-position model. The record is from RNAcentral.